Molecule: RNA transcript, 1332 nt
Organism: Panicum virgatum (switchgrass)
Lineage: Eukaryota; Viridiplantae; Streptophyta; Magnoliopsida; Poales; Poaceae
Gene name: probable glycosyltransferase 7
Exons: 2
Source: RefSeq, a predicted model, not a curated record
UCGGCGGCCAACCUCGGCAUGCGCGCAGGGGACAGCGACGCGUGGCGAGGUCGAGAGGCUUCAGGGAGGAACCGGGGGCGCACGAGGUGAACUUGGCCGGGGCGCGGCGCGUGGCCGGCGACCUCUGCUCGGCCGGCGCAGAGCAGGGGAGAGUGAGAGGGAAGAGAGAGAGAGAGAGAGUAGAGAGAGAAAUAGAGGUUUGACUGAUUCAAAAUCGAAUUUUUCUCAAAAAUUUCUUUUGAAACAUGGAAAACUUUGAAUAUGAAAGUUGUAGAGAAUUUAAAAGCUUACAACUUUUAUUUCAGGAAAAAGUUUAUUCGAGCAAUGGUUUAAAAGUUAUUUUAAAUUUUCGAAAACUAUGAUUCGAAUGACUUGUCAUUUCAUGUGACUUUUGUCACUUUUACCCCUAGAGUUCAACUAGACAUUUAUUAAUAUUUUCAUGGUGAACAUGCCUAUUCAUUUUCAUAUGCCUAUUUGCAUUGGUGUGAAAGUUAUUUGAAAUUUCUCACCACUAGAAUUUGAACUCUUAGUUAAUUAAAUUUUUGAAUUUGAAAGUGGUCUUUUACGUAAACUUGUAUAGCACAAAACUAUAAGUGUGUUUUAUGCUACAAUUGUCAUGACAAGUUGAGUGUGAAAGUUUACAAAUAUUAAAGGAACAAAAUUUAUAUCCACACAUACAUAUGUACACAUACACACAUACACAUACAUACACAUGCAUUUUCAUACAUACAUAUAUAUUAUUUUCCAAAAAGAAAUGCAUAAUUUGAAUUUCUCUUGUUUAUUAAGCAUGAAAUCAUAUUUAAUAUUUCUUGCUUAGCAUUUUAAAACUCUGAGAUGUCACACUCGUCCUCUACGGCUGGCCCAAGGCGGUGCGCGACGCUGGAUGGGAUGGCGCCUGCGAGGCAAUUGCCGCUGAGGAUGAGGCAGCCCCCGCCGCCGGGGUGGUGGCAGCACGGGCAGCUUCUGCUCUGGCCGCCGAGUUUGUGAUGCUUAACUGACUACAGCAAACCAAUAUCAGUUGCUUAACAGCAUGGAUUGAUUACUCUUUUGUUUUUUGAUCUUGCUUUGCAAAGAUGAUCUGAAUUGAAGAACAAUUGAAAACGUUGUUUUAGGUGCUGAUGAUGUGCUGCUAUUCAGAUACUCAAACUCUUUUUGAUAUUCACAUCAAUGUAGAUUGGCCCUGAUCAGAUCGAAGCCUUAUAUGAUUACGCUAAAUUUCAGUAUGAGCGUGGGUCCUAUUCUGAUCUGCGGCCUACCUCUACUACUAUCGUGUUUUGACCACAAAUAGCGAUAGGAGUGUGAGAGCUUUAUAGGGGAUGUUGGCAUCACAGA